This 252-nucleotide ribosomal RNA is filed under the name uncultured bacterium. Its description in RNAcentral is "partial 16S ribosomal RNA". It matches the Rfam family "Bacterial small subunit ribosomal RNA", at positions 524 to 776 of the family's 1533-position model. The record is from RNAcentral.
UACGGGGGGGCAAGCGUUGUUCGGAAUUACUGGGCGUAAAGGGUUCGUAGGUGGCCUGCUAAGUCGGACGUGAAAUCCCUCGGCUCAACCGGGGAACUGCGUCCGAUACUGGUGGGCUCGAGUGCGAGGAGGAGACGCGGAAUUCCAGGUGUAGCGGUGAAAUGCGUAGAUAUCAGGAGGAACACCGGUGGUGUAAACGGCUUUCUGGACCAUAACUGACGCUGAUGCACGAAAGCUAGGGGAGCAAACAGG